CAUAAAUCCAUCCUAAAAUCCAUUUACUAAAACUGUUGAUGCUGUCCUUCUUGUUUUGAGCCCAAAGCACUGAAAAACAAAACCAACCCUCCUUCCAGAAAUCAAUGCGAUGACGUGAGGUCCCUCUACAAGUUUGCAAGUGAAAGAGGUUUUGGUUUCAUUUUGUUUUGAUUUGGACAAAAGUCACACAUAAUGGCAGUGCCUCCCGAAACAAGACGCAGAAGAAGCUGUUCCUCAAAAGUUAACUGGAUGAAAACAUGCUAGAAAACGCAACUUCUUGGGGCAAUUUUUGUAAGUUUCCAAAGAAAUGAGUGCUUCCCUCCUACUAUAGGACAAUGUAGCCAUUGCUCUUCUUUAGACUAGACAUUUCUAAUUUGUUCCGUCUGUCAGAAGGGGACUAUGAGAGGGUUUGGUGCAAAUUCAUUAUCUCUGGCAACGCAUAACGUAUAGUAGGAACUGAAAAAGACCAUGGCAAUGGAUGAACAAUAGGGCUUCAGUUCAUCAGCAACAAAAGCGUUGGGGAAAUUGGUUGAAUUUCAGAGCACGUCCUCCUCAGCAGAGAGGGCUGGACUAGACCUUGGCCACCCCCCCCCCCCAAAAAAAAAAACUUGCAAAGCCUCACGUACAACACUUCACUUUCUACUCUGGGGCUUAGGAAGCAAUAUGGAAGAAAAAACUUUUUUUUUCUGUUUCUUCCGUUUUUCUGGAUAGAAGCUCUUUCUAAGUAUUUUAAAACCAACCAUGCAAGAAUUAUACCAUGGAACUAAGCUGCAGUUUCAAAUAAAGGUGAUGAUCUGCAUUUCUGGAGACGUGAAGGAACCCGCUGUCUAUGCUUUAAGGGGGGCUUGACCGUGGGAUCUUUGUUGCAGUCGGAGAUUCAGCCCUUACAUCUAGAUCGGGGGUCAAAUGUUUCUUAUAAGAAAAAAAAUUCAGAUUAAGAAGAAGGAUCACAAGGGAUGGCAAUAAUCAAGAAAUGGAAAAAUGAAGUUUAGAACUGACUCUUGACACGUGAUGCACAUUUGGCAGGAGGCCAAGGCGAAUCAGAAUAAACAACCCGAAGACAAUGCCAAAUUCAGGAAAAUAAAAGUAGCUUAAUAUGAUUUAAUACCAAUAAAGUGGUUAAGAUGAAGUUUCUUAAACUCUUUUAUGGAGGCUGGUUAACAAUGACGUGGAUUUUUGAAGAACAAUUCCAGAGCUUUGACUGAAUGAAAUAUUCUGAAACCAAAAGAAAAGCUUGGUCUUGAUUAUCUAUAUUACAGAUUAGCUUGAAGGAAAUAAUUAUUACCAAUCUGUACCAUAAUAGCUGUACUUAACUGCAAUGUAACAUUUAAGGUCUGUGGAGCAGGGGAUGUCUUUUUGUUCUGGGCCUGUACAGCAUGCAGCACAAUGAGGUUCUACUCCAUGAUUGGGGAUCCUAGAUGCUCCCAUAAAAUAAACAAUAAUACAGUAAUAAUAAUAUUUAUCUUAUUCUAUUUGGAUUGUUGCUUUAAUUUUAUUUUUGAUGAUUUAUCAUUAGCUCUGGGAGCUAAACUCUCAAAGGCUCAUAUAUCAGGUGUGCCACUCCCAAUGCAGAUAUAGUCCUAAGGCCUGACUCUCAUCUUGUAGAAAUAUAAGGCCCCAGUUUGGUAGUCAGAUAUGUGUGAACAGUACCUGGGGACUGUGCAGAGCCCACUGACUUAAGUGGAGGUCCAGACAGGCAUAAAAGUCAACCCACACAGAUCUGAUUGCAGGGAAGCAGCCUUCAAACAGGAGUGACUCUGCUGAAGUCAGAUGGAGUUAGACUUAGGUAAAACAGUGAUGUAAGCAAAAGGGGAAUAGGACCCGUAACACACACACAUGUGCACAUUCAGCCAAAGAAAUAAAACACCUGCAUGUGUAACCCACACACCUUCUGGGUGUGGUGUUCUGUCCCAUCUAAUGGCACUGAGAACACUUAAAGAGAGAGGUAAAAUGAGUCUUCUCUACAACCUUAGCUAAGAGCCAGUUGUCUUUUAGCUCAUGUGGUAGAGGCUCAUGCACUAAGCUCCAGAGAUCCACGGUUCAAUCCUGCCCACUGAUGACAAGGGUCUGUUGGCAUUACACAUGCAUAUGAUACUGAGGGAUACGUAAUGGGUGGAGGACAUUUUGUGUCAUUUUAAAUAUGGCCAUUUUAAUCAGUCCAGUUGUUUACCGACAUCUCUUAGGUGUAAUAAACAAAUAGAUACCAAGGAAAUUGAAGUUGGUUCAUUAGAAACCUUUUCAUUUUUUAUAAUUUUAAAAUUACAAUCAACAGGAAAAACAUACCAGAUUCAUUGCUGAUAGGUGAAGUGUGACUUUUCCAAUAUUUUAAGAUUAUAUUUUAUUAGUUCAAGAAAAAUAUGGUUAUAGAAAAUAUAUAUUUACCACUCCUUAAAAGAUUUUGCAGAAUUUUCUGUCUUCUCUCUGUUUCUUUCACAUUAUAUUUUACCUUUUCUGAUAUUUAUGCUUUUUGUUUCACAUGUUCAGCAAUCACAAUAUAUCUCUUAUACUCAUGGUUUUCAAUCAAAAUAUAUUUAAAAUUGUAUUUAAUAAAUACCUUUAAAAUAGUGUCAACAGAAUUUUAUUUUUGUUGAUAUUUCUGCCUUCACUAUAUGUUGAAAUGUAAUUGGUUUGUUAGGGAUCAAUCCUACAUUCCUAAUUCAAGAUAAAACUUCCAUUGAAAUCAAUGAGAAGUCAAUUGUCUUGAUAUGGAUUUCAAGGUUGAGCCUUUAGCUUAGUUUUAUGAGUGUAACAGAGCCUUAAAUAAUUUUUCUUACUAUUGUCUGUCUGAACAUUUUUUCCACCAGUCUAGUUUAACUGGUGGUGUAAUUAAUAUGUAUAAUUCCAAAUUUUGUAAUAAAAUAAAGUG
Long non-coding RNA from Trachemys scripta elegans, 2866 nucleotides. RefSeq lists it as uncharacterized. Lineage: Eukaryota; Metazoa; Chordata; Testudines; Emydidae. The record is from RefSeq and is a predicted model, not a curated record. The transcript has 4 exons.